CCCUUAGAGUUUGAUCCUGGCUCAGAUUGAACGCUGGCGGCAUGCCUUACACAUGCAAGUCGAACGGCAGCACGGGGGCAACCCUGGUGGCGAGUGGCGAACGGGUGAGUAAUAUAUCGGAACGUAUCCUGUAGCGGGGGAUAACCUAUCGAAAGAUGGACUAAUACCGCAUACGAUCUAUGGAUGAAAGCGGAGGACCGCAAGGCUUCGCACUAUAGGAGCGGCCGAUAUCGGAUUAGCUAGUUGGUGGGGUAAAAGCCUACCAAGGCAACGAUCCGUAGCUGGUCUGAGAGGAUGAUCAGCCACACUGGAACUGAGACACGGUCCAGACUCCUACGGGAGGCAGCAGUGGGGAAUUUUGGACAAUGGGCGCAAGCCUGAUCCAGCCAUGCCGCGUGAGUGAAGAAGGCCUUCGGGUUGUAAAGCUCUUUCGGCAGGAACGAAAUGGUUCGUGCUAAUACCAUGAACUGAUGACGGUACCUGAAGAAGAAGCACCGGCUAACUACGUGCCAGCAGCCGCGGUAAUACGUAGGGUGCGGGCGUUAAUCGGAAUUACUGGGCGUAAAGCGUGCGCAGGCGGUUUCUUAAGUCAGAUGUGAAAGCCCCGGGCUUAACCUGGGAACUGCGUUUGAAACUGAGGGACUAGAGUGUGGCAGAGGGGGGGUGGAAUUCCACGUGUAGCAGUGAAAUGCGUAGAUAUGUGGAGGAACACGAUGGCGA
RNAcentral lists this ribosomal RNA (720 nucleotides) under uncultured bacterium. RNAcentral describes it as "bacterial SSU rRNA". It matches the Rfam family "Bacterial small subunit ribosomal RNA", at positions 1 to 718 of the family's 1533-position model. The record is from RNAcentral.